GACGAACGCUGGCGGCGUGCUUAACACAUGCAAGUCGAACGGAAAGGCCCUGCUUUUGUGGGGUGCUCGAGUGGCGAACGGGUGAGUAACACGUGAGUAACCUGCCCUUGACUUUGGGAUAACUUCAGGAAACUGGGGCUAAUACCGGAUAGGAGCUCCUGCUGCAUGGUGGGGGUUGGAAAGUUUCGGCGGUUGGGGAUGGACUCGCGGCUUAUCAGCUUGUUGGUGGGGUAGUGGCUUACCAAGGCUUUGACGGGUAGCCGGCCUGAGAGGGUGACCGGCCACAUUGGGACUGAGAUACGGCCCAGACUCCUACGGGAGGCAGCAGUGGGGAGUAUUGCACAAUGGGCGGGAGCCUGAUGCAGCAGCGCCGCGUGCGGGAUGACGGCCUUCGGGUUGUGAACCGCUUUCGCCUGUGACGAAGCGUGAGUGACGGUAAUGGGUAAAGAAGCACCGGCUAACUACGUG
Molecule: ribosomal RNA, 468 nt
Filed under: uncultured bacterium
Lineage: Bacteria
Description: partial 16S ribosomal RNA
Rfam family: Bacterial small subunit ribosomal RNA
Source: RNAcentral